This 495-nucleotide ribosomal RNA is filed under the name uncultured bacterium. RNAcentral describes it as "partial 16S ribosomal RNA". It matches the Rfam family "Bacterial small subunit ribosomal RNA", at positions 29 to 506 of the family's 1533-position model. The record is from RNAcentral.
AUGAACGCUGGCGGCGUGCCUAAUACAUGCAAGUCGAGCGAACAGACGAGGAGCUUGCUCCUCUGACGUUAGCGGCGGACGGGUGAGUAACACGUGGAUAACCUACCUAUAAGACUGGGAUAACUUCGGGAAACCGGAGCUAAUACCGGAUAAUAUAUUGAACCGCAUGGUUCAAUAGUGAAAGACGGUUUUGCUGUCACUUAUAGAUGGAUCCGCGCCGCAUUAGCUAGUUGGUAAGGUAACGGCUUACCAAGGCAACGAUGCGUAGCCGACCUGAGAGGGUGAUCGCCCCCACUGGAACUGGGACACGGCCCAGACCCCUAGGGGAGGCAGCGGGGGGGAAUUUCCCGCAAGGGGCGAAAGCUUGCCGGGGAAACGCCGGGUGAGUGAGGAAGGCUUUCGGAUCGUAAAACUUUUUUAUUAGGGAAAAACAAAUGUGAAAGUAACUAUGAACGUUUUGACGGUACCGAAUCAGAAAGCCACGGCUAACUACGU